ACAGCAGUCGCCGCGGGAAUACGAAGGGUGCAAGCGUUACUCGGAAUUACUGGGCGUAAAGCGUGCGUAGGUGGUGGUUUAAGUCCGUUGUGAAAGCCCUGGGCUCAACCUGGGAAUUGCAGUGGAUACUGGGUCACUAGAGUGUGGUAGAGGAUAGUGGAAUUUCCGGUGUAGCAGUGAAAUGCGUAGAGAUCGGAAGGAACAUCUGUGGCGAAGGCGACUAUCUGGGCCAACACUGACACUGAGGCACGAAAGCGUGGGGAGCAAACAGGAUUAGAUACCCGCGUAGUCCCUGUCUCUUAUAC
This 305-nucleotide ribosomal RNA is filed under the name uncultured bacterium. Its description in RNAcentral is "partial 16S ribosomal RNA". It matches the Rfam family "Bacterial small subunit ribosomal RNA", at positions 508 to 807 of the family's 1533-position model. The record is from RNAcentral.